Caenorhabditis elegans is the source of this 55-nucleotide non-coding RNA. Lineage: Eukaryota; Metazoa; Nematoda; Chromadorea; Rhabditida; Rhabditidae. The record is from Ensembl.
CGAGAAAAUACAGUUCUCGUUUGUUUAAAGUAUUUGAACGCGGUUAGUUUUUGGC